This 470-nucleotide unclassified non-coding RNA is filed under the name Hevea brasiliensis (rubber tree). The record is from RNAcentral. Lineage: Eukaryota; Viridiplantae; Streptophyta; Magnoliopsida; Malpighiales; Euphorbiaceae.
AGCUUCAACAUAACCACGCACUUCCUGAGCCAUCCAUCGAAGUUCUUCUUCAGGAUCCGCCGGUCUUCUAGUCAUUGUUUCAAGAGAUCCAUCUGAAAGACUUUGCCGGAUAGGUGGGGCAGAUUCACCCUUUACUUGACCGCCUUUAGAGCUGAUGACAAUUCGCAAUUUGUUUAACCACUCUGUCUUAUCUGCCACACUCUCAGCCUUCAAGACAACAGCGCUGUGUGCCUUUAAAACAGUUUUAUAUGGAACGCGACUUGUUAUCUUAAAUACAAGAUUGGGUGUUUUUGCAACAUCAGGCCCAUUUGCCUUUUUGUCCUUCGAACUUUUGGUAGGUGCAGGAGCUUCUUCUUCAUCAGCAACUUCUUCAAGAAUACAUUCCUCCAAUGUUAUGACACCACGAAAAUGGCGUUCCUCUUGUUUCUUCGUGUAUCCAAGCUUUCCAGUUUUCUCGUUCAAAACAAACC